GUGCGCGCUCCCGCUGCUGCUGCUCGCGCCCGGCGUGGGGCUGGCCGUGGCCAGGAGGCGCAGAGGCGGCAGGACCCCCAAGGACACGGGGGGGACCCCCAGGCUGAGCCCCCCCGGGCCGGAGCGGCGCCCGCAGAGACCCUCGGCCACCAGGGUGUGACGUCAGCUGCGCACCCAAAUCCGGGCAAUAAAAGGGAAAUUUUGGUGGUUUUGGAAUUUUUUUUUGUGUGUUUAUUUGGGGUUUUGGGGGGUUUUAUGGGGUAUUGGGGAUUUAUUUGGGGGUUUUGGG
Melozone crissalis (California towhee) is the source of this 289-nucleotide long non-coding RNA. RefSeq lists it as uncharacterized. The transcript has 3 exons. The record is from RefSeq and is a predicted model, not a curated record. NCBI's taxonomy places the organism in Eukaryota, Metazoa, Chordata, Aves, Passeriformes, Passerellidae.